UGUGAAUGAUGACCACUUUAUCCCCGACUCAACACAUGGGGGCUAAACUGAUUUAAUGAGCCUGACUC
Osmerus eperlanus (European smelt) is the source of this 68-nucleotide small nucleolar RNA. The record is from RefSeq and is a predicted model, not a curated record. NCBI's taxonomy places the organism in Eukaryota, Metazoa, Chordata, Actinopteri, Osmeriformes, Osmeridae.